RNAcentral lists this ribosomal RNA (739 nucleotides) under uncultured bacterium. RNAcentral's name for it is "bacterial SSU rRNA". It matches the Rfam family "Bacterial small subunit ribosomal RNA", at positions 8 to 743 of the family's 1533-position model. The record is from RNAcentral.
AGAGUUUGAUCAUGGCUCAGAUUGAACGCUGGCGGCAGGCCUAACACAUGCAAGUCGAGCGGAUGAGUGGAGCUUGCUCCAUGAUUCAGCGGCGGACGGGUGAGUAAUGCCUAGGAAUCUGCCUGGUAGUGGGGGACAACGUUUCGAAAGGAACGCUAAUACCGCAUACGUCCUACGGGAGAAAGUGGGGGAUCUUCGGACCUCACGCUAUCAGAUGAGCCUAGGUCGGAUUAGCUAGUUGGUGAGGUAAAGGCUCACCAAGGCGACGAUCCGUAACUGGUCUGAGAGGAUGAUCAGUCACACUGGAACUGAGACACGGUCCAGACUCCUACGGGAGGCAGCAGUGGGGAAUAUUGGACAAUGGGCGAAAGCCUGAUCCAGCCAUGCCGCGUGUGUGAAGAAGGUCUUCGGAUUGUAAAGCACUUUAAGUUGGGAGGAAGGGCAGUAAGUUAAUACCUUGCUGUUUUGACGUUACCAACAGAAUAAGCACCGGCUAACUUCGUGCCAGCAGCCGCGGUAAUACGAAGGGUGCAAGCGUUAAUCGGAAUUACUGGGCGUAAAGCGCGCGUAGGUGGUUCGUUAAGUUGGAUGUGAAAGCCCCGGGCUCAACCUGGGAACUGCAUCCAAAACUGGCGAGCUACAGUAUGGCAGAGGGUAGUGGAAUUUCCUGUGUAGCGGUGAGAUGCGUAGAUAUAGGAAGGAACACCAGUGGCGAACGCGACCACCUGGCUAAUACUGA